This is a non-coding RNA of Paramuricea clavata, 231 nucleotides long. The record is from the annotation of a GenBank genome assembly. NCBI's taxonomy places the organism in Eukaryota, Metazoa, Cnidaria, Anthozoa, Malacalcyonacea, Plexauridae.
CCCUUACCUAAUUACGUACUGAGCCUACAGUGUUUAUCUUUGCAACAAUUUUGAUAUCCUAUAUGAUCCUAACCCACCCUGCAGUCAACUUUUCCUCACCAUGUGGAAGGAAACCGGAGCACCCGCAGAAAAUCCAUCAAUCUUUACGACCAUAUGGAAAUCAGGCUUAUAAACGUCUGCUAUACACGAUAUACACACGUGAAAACCAGGGACGUCGCGAAGCCAUCAACA